This 448-nucleotide ribosomal RNA is filed under the name uncultured bacterium. RNAcentral's name for it is "partial 16S ribosomal RNA". It matches the Rfam family "Bacterial small subunit ribosomal RNA", at positions 328 to 792 of the family's 1533-position model. The record is from RNAcentral.
AAGCCAGACUCCUACGGGAGGCAGCAGUGGGGGAUAUUGCACAAUGGGGGGAACCCUGAUGCAGCGACGCCGCGUGGGUGAAGGAGCGUUUCGGCGCGUAAAGCCCUAUCGGCAGGGAAGAAGGAGGACGGUACCUGACUAAGAAGCCCCGGCUAACUACGUGCCAGCAGCCGCGGUAAUACGUAGGGGGCAAGCGUUAUCCGGAUUUACUGGGUGUAAAGGGGGCGCAGACGGCAGCGCAAGCCAGGAGUGAAAGCCCGGGGCCCAACCCCGGGACUGCUCUUGGAACUGCGCGGCUGGAGUGCAGGAGGGGCAGGCGGAAUUCCUGGUGUAGCGGUGAAAUGCGUAGAUAUCAGGAGGAACACCGGUGGCGAAGGCGGCCUGCUGGACUGCGACUGACGUUGAGGCCCGAAAGCGUGGGGAGCAAACAGGAUUAGAUACCCCUGUA